AUUGAAGGCUGAAAUUCGCCUUCAUGAAGCCGGAAUUGCUAGUAAUGGCAGGUCAGCAUACUGCCGUGAAUACGUUCCCGGGCCUUGUACACACCGCCCGUCAAACCAUGAGAGUUGGCAACACCCGAAGUCGGUAGUCUAACCGCAAGGAGGACGCCGCCGAAGGUGGGGUUGAUGAUUAGGGUUAAGUCGUAACAAGGUAUC
RNAcentral lists this ribosomal RNA (204 nucleotides) under uncultured bacterium. Its description in RNAcentral is "partial 16S ribosomal RNA". It matches the Rfam family "Bacterial small subunit ribosomal RNA", at positions 1297 to 1500 of the family's 1533-position model. The record is from RNAcentral.